CAGAAAGACCCUAUGAAGCUUUACUGUAACUUGAAAUUGAUUUCGGACCUUAUUUGUGCAGGAUAUGUGGGAGGCUACGAUAAUUUCUUCUAGCCGUCCGUGAGAUACCACUCUGAUAAUGGUUAGAAAUCUAACUUUAUACCAUAUAUCUGGUUAAAAAACAGUUUCUGGUGGGCAGUUUGACUGGGGCGGUCGCCUCCCAAAAAGUAACGGAGGCGCACAAAGGUUUCCUCAAAUCGGUCAGAAAUCGGUUGAAGAGCGUAAAGGCAUAAGGAAGCUUGACUGCGAGACCUACAAGUCGAGCAGGGACGAAAGUCGGUCUUAGUGAUCUGACGAUAUUGUGUGGAAAAAUCGUCACUCAACGGAUAAAAGUUACUCUAGGGAUAACAGGCUGA
This 395-nucleotide ribosomal RNA is filed under the name Rhizosolenia sp. RNAcentral describes it as "partial large subunit ribosomal RNA". It matches the Rfam family "Bacterial large subunit ribosomal RNA", at positions 2081 to 2485 of the family's 2925-position model. The record is from RNAcentral. Lineage: Eukaryota; Bacillariophyta; Coscinodiscophyceae; Rhizosoleniales; Rhizosoleniaceae.